GAUGAAGAACGUAGCAAAAUGCGAUAAGUAAUGUGAAUUGCAGAAUUCAGUGAAUCAUCGAAUCUUUGAACGCACAUUGCGCCCGCCAGUAUUCUGGCGGGCAUGCCUGUUCGAGCGUCAUUUCAACCCUCAAGCUCAGCUUGGUGUUGGGACUCGCGGUAACCCGCGUUCCCCAAAUCGAUUGGCGGUCACGUCGAGCUUCCAUAGCGUAGUAAUCAUACACCUCGUUACUGGUAAUCGUCGCGGCCACGCCGUAAAACCCCAACUUCUGAAUGUUGACCUCGGAUCAGGUAGGAAUACCCGCUGAACUUAAGCAUAUCAAUAAGCGGAGG
Molecule: unclassified non-coding RNA, 332 nt
Filed under: soil metagenome
Description: partial contains 5.8S ribosomal RNA, internal transcribed spacer 2, and large subunit ribosomal RNA
Rfam family: 5.8S ribosomal RNA (bases 1-120)
Source: RNAcentral